UACAGAGGUCCCAAGCGUUGUUCGGAUUCACUGGGCGUAAAGGGUGCGUAGGUGGCCAGGUAAGUUCGGUGUGAAAGCUCGGAGCUUAACUCCGAAAUGUCAUUGAAUACUAUCUGGCUGGAGGGUCGGAGGGGAGACUGGAAUUCUCGGUGUAGCAGUGAAAUGCGUAGAUAUCGAGAGGAACACCAGUGGCGAAGGCGAGUCUCUGGGCAGUAACUGACGCUGAGGAGCGAAAGCGUGGGGAGCGAACAGG
RNAcentral lists this ribosomal RNA (253 nucleotides) under uncultured bacterium. Its description in RNAcentral is "partial 16S ribosomal RNA". It matches the Rfam family "Bacterial small subunit ribosomal RNA", at positions 524 to 776 of the family's 1533-position model. The record is from RNAcentral.